UUUCGCAAUGCCCGAAAGGGUGACGAAGCGACGCCGCGUGUGGGAAGAAGGCCUUCGGGUUGUAAACCACUGUCGGGAGUUAAGAAGUGUAGUGAUGUUAAUAGCAUCGCUACUUGACUAAGGCUCCGGAGGAAGCCACGGCUAACUCUGUGCCAGCAGCCGCGGUAAUACAGAGGCGGCAAGCGUUGUUCGGAUUCAUUGGGCGUAAAGGGCAAGUAGGCGGCUCGUUAAGUCGGGUGUGAAAUCCCUCUGCUCAACGGAGGAACUGCAUUCGAGACUGGCGGGCUUGAGGGGUGGAGAAGCGAGCGGAAUUCUCGGUGUAGCGGUGGAAUGCGUAGAUAUCGAGAAGAACUCCAAUGGCGAAGGCAGCUCGCUAGACACCCCCUGACGCUGAACUGCGAAAGCCAGGGGAGCAAACGGGAUUAGAUACCCCGGUAGUCCUAGCCGUAAACGAUGGGCACUAAGUAGAGGGGUUUUA
Molecule: ribosomal RNA, 478 nt
Filed under: uncultured bacterium
Lineage: Bacteria
Description: bacterial SSU rRNA
Rfam family: Bacterial small subunit ribosomal RNA
Source: RNAcentral